GUGUCCAAACCAUAGUACACAUUUUGGUCGCCGGAGGCCAGUAAGGCUAUUUUUGGCCUCCCGUGACACAUGUUUUCAUCGUCAAACAACGAUUUCAUGCCUCCCGUCCGCCACCCAUGAUUUGGCCACGAAGACUGCAAAGGCUGUUUAUGGCCUCCCGUAAGCUAUAGCACACGUUUUCAUGGUCGAGCGACCUUUUUUAUGUACGAGUUCCACCACCCGCGUUUUGGUCCCCAGAGCACCUUAAAGUUGUUCUUGGCUUCCCACGAGCUGUAGCACACGUUUCCGUGGCCAAAGUGCCAAUUUCAUGUAUCCGACCUGCCACCUACGUUUUACACCGGAGAGGCCGUUACGACAUUUUUUGCCACAAGUGAGCUAUAGCACACGUUUUUAUGGUAAACUAGACCCCGAAUCCAAUCCCUAAACCCUAACCUUAAACACCGACACUAAAAGGUUUUAGUGUCCAAACCAUAGUAAAAUGAAGUUUGAGUCUCCAAACCAUAGUAAGCUUGCAGGCAUCUUAGAAUUUUAGUGUCCAAACCAAAGUACAGGUUUUAGACCCCUUAGGCCCGUAUGGCUAUUUUGGCCUCCCGUGACACAUGUUUUUGUCGUCGAACAGCGAUUUCGUGCCUCCCGUCCGCCACCCAUGAUUUGACCAUUGAGACUGGUAAGGCUGUUUUGGCCUCCCGUGAGCUAUAGCACACGUUUUCAUGGCCCAGCGACCAUUUUUAUGUCUGCGUUCCGCCACACGUGUUUUUGUCCCUAGAGCACCUUAAAGCGAUUCUUGGCCUCCCGCGAGCUAUAUCACACAUUUUCGUGGCCAAACAGCCAAUUUUAUGUAUCCGACCUGCCACCUUCGUUUUAGACCGGGGAGGCCGUUAUGGCAUUUUUUUGCCACCCGUGAGCUAUAGCACACGAUUUUAUGGAAACCUAGACCCUAAAUCCUAUCCCUAAACCCUAAACCUAAACAUCGACACUAAAGGAUUUUAGUGUCGAAACCAUGGUAAAAUGAAAUUUGAGUCUCCCAACCAUAUCAACUUUGCUGACAUAGUAGAAUUUUAGUGUCCAAACCAUAGUAUACAUUUUGGUCCCCGGAGGCCGGUAAGGCUAUUUUUGGCCUCCCGUGACACUUGUUUUCAUCGUCAAACAACGAUUUCAUGCCUCCCGUCCACCACCCAUGAUUUGGCCACUGAGACAGCUAAGGCUGUUUAUGGCCUCACGAAAGCUAUAACACACGUUUUCAUGGUCGAGCGACCAUUUUUAAGUAAGUGUUCCACCACCCGCGUUUUGGUCCCCAGAGCACCUUAAAGUUGUUCUUGGCCUCCCACGAGCUGUAGGGUUUAGGGUUUAGGCUUUAGGGCCUCCCGUGACACAUGUUUUUGUCGUCGAACAACGAUUUCGUGCCUCCCGUCCGCCACCCAUGAUUUGACCAAUGAGAUUGGUAAGGCUGUUUUGGCCUCCCGUGAGCUAUAGCACACGUUUUCAUGGCCCAGUGACCAUUUUUAUGUCCGAGUUCCGCCACACGUGUUUUUGUCCCCGGAGCACCUUAAAGCGGUUCUUGGCCUCCCGCGAGCUAUAUCACACAUUUCCGUGGCCAAACAACCAAUUUUAUGUAUCCGACCUGCCACCUUCGUUUUAGAUCGGGGAGGCCGUUAUGGCAUUUUUUGCCACCCGUGAGCUAUAGCACACGAUAUUAUGGAAACCUAGACCCUAAAUCCUAUCCCUAAACCCUAAACCUAAACAUCGACACUAAAGGAAUUUAGUGUCGAAACCAUGGUAAAAUGAAAUUUGAGUCUCCCAACCAUAUCAACUUUGCUAACAUAGUAGAAUUUUAGUGUCCAAACCAUAGUACACAUUUUGGUCCCCGGAGGCCGGUAAGGCUAUUUUUGGCCUCCCGUGUCACAUGUUUUCAUCGUCAAACAACGAUUUCAUGCCUCCCGUCCACCACCCAUGAUUUGGCCAUUGAGACUGCUAAGGCUGUUUAUGGCCUCACGUAAGCUAUAGCACACGUUUUCAUGGUCGAGCGACCAUUUUAAGUAAGUGUUCCACCACCCGCGUUUUGGUCCCCAGAGCACCUUAAAGUUGUUCUUAGCCUCCCACGAGUUGUAGGGUUUAGGGUUUAGGUUUUAGGGCCUCCCGUGACACAUGUUUUUGUCGUCGAACAACGAUUUCGUGCCUCCCGUCCGCCACCCAUGAUUUGACCAUUGAGACUGGUAAGGCUGUUUUGGCCUCCCGUGAGCUAUAGCACACGUUUUCAUGGCCCAGCGACCAUUUUUAUGUCCGCGUUCCGCCACACGUGUUUUUGUCCCCGGAGCACCUUAAAGCGGUUCUUGGCCUCCCGCGAGCUAUAUCACACAUUUCCGUGGCCAAACAACCAAUUUUAUGUAUCCGACCUGCCACCUUCGUUUUAGACCGGGGAGGCCGUUAUGGCAUUUUUUUGCCACCCGUGAGCUGUAGCACACGAUUUUAUGGAAACCUAGACCCUAAAUCCUAUCCCUAAACCCUAAACCUAAACAUCGACACUAAAGGAUUUUAGUGUCGAAACCAUUGUAAAAUGAAAUUUGAGUCUCCCAACCAUAUCAACUUUGCUGACAUAGUAGAAUUUUAGUGUCCAAACCAUAGUACACAUUUUGGUCCCCGGAGGCCGGUAAGGCUAUUUUUGGCCUCCCGUGACACAUGUUUUCAUCGUCAAACAACGAUUUCAUGCCUCCCGUCCGCCACCCAUGAUUUGGCCACUGAGAUUGCUAAGGCUGUUUAUGGCCUCACGUAAGCUAUAGCACACGUUUUCAUGGUCGAGCGACCAUUUUUAAGUAAGUGUUCCACCACCCGCGUUUUGGUCCCUAGAGCACCUUAAAGUUGUUCUUGGCCUCCCACGAGCUUUAGGGUUUAGGAUUUAGGUUUUAAGGCCUCCAGUGACACAUGUUUUUGUCGUCGAACAGCGAUUUCGUGCCUCCCGUCCGCCACCCAUGAUUUGACCGUUGAGACUGGUAAGGCUGUUUUGGCCUCCCGUGAGCUAUAGCACACGUUUUCAUGGCCCAGCGACCAUUUUUAUGUCCGCGUUCCGCCACACGUGUUUUUGUCCCCGGAGCACCUUAAAGCGGUUCUUGGCCUCCCGCGAGCUAUAUCACACAUUUCCGUGGCCAAACAGCCAAUUUUAUGUAUCCGACCUGCCACCUUUGUUUUAGACCGGGGAGGCCGUUAUGGCAUUUUUUUUGCCACCCGUGAGCUGUAGCACACGAUUUUAUGGAAACCUAGACCCUAAAUCCUAUCCCUAAACCCUAAACCUAAACAUCGACACUAAUGGAUUUUAGUGUCGAAACCAUGGUAAAAUGAAAUUUGAGUCUCCCAACCAUAUCAACUUUGCUGACAUAGUAGAAUUUUAGUGUCCAAACCAUAGUACACAUUUUGGUCCCCGGAGGCCGGUAAGGCUAUUUUUGGCCUCCCGUGACACAUGUUUUCAUCGUCAAACAACGAUUUCAUGCCUCCCGUCCACCACCCAUGAUUUGGCGACUGAGACUGCUAAGGCUGUUUAUGGCCUCACCUAAGCUAUAGCACACGUUUUCAUGGUCGAGCGACCAUUUUUAAGUAAGUGUUCCACCACCCGCGUUUUGGUCCCCAGAGCACCUUAAAGUUGUUCUUGGCCUCCCACGAGCUGUAGGGUUUAGGGUUUAGGUUUUAGGGCCUCCCAUGAUACAUGUUUUUGUCGUCGAACAGCAAUUUCGUGCCUCCCGUCCGCCACCCAUGAUUUGACCAUUGAGACUGGUAAGGCUGUUUUGGCCUCCCGUGAGCUAUAACACACGUUUUCAUGGCCCAGCGACCAUUUUUAUGUCCGCGUUCCGCCACACGUGUUUUUGUCCCCGGAGCACCUUAAAGCGGUUCUUGGCCUCCCGCGAGCUAUAUCACACAUUUCCGUGGCCAAACAGCCAAUUUUAUGUAUCCGACCUGCCACCUUCGUUUUAGACCGGGGAGGCCGUUAUGGCAUUUUUUUGCCACCCGUGAGCUGUAGCACACGAUUUUAUGGAAACAUAGACCCUAAAUCCUAUCCCUAAACCCUAAACCUAAACAUCGACACUAAAGGAUUUUAGUGUCGAAACCAUUGUAAAAUGAAAUUUGAGUCUCCCAACCAUAUCAACUUUGCUGACAUAGUAGAAUUUUAGUGUCCAAACCAUAGUACACAUUUUGGUCCUCGGAGGCCGGUAAGGCUAUUUUUGGCCUCCCGUGACACAUGUUUUCAUCGUCAAACAAAGAUUUCAUGCCUCCCGUCCGCCACCCAUGAUUUGGCCACUGAGAUUGCUAAGGCUGUUUAUGGCCUCACGUAAGCUAUAGCACACGUUUUCAUGGUCGAGCGACCAUUUUUAAGUAAGUGUUCCACCACCCGCGUUUUGGUCCCUAGAGCACCUUAAAGUUGUUCUUGGCCUCCCACGAGCUUUAGGGUUUAGGAUUUAGGUUUUAGGCCUCCUGUGACACAUGUUUUUGUCGUCGAACAGCGAUUUCGUGCCUCCCGUCCGCCACCCAUGAUUUGACCGUUGAGACUGGUAAGGCUGUUUUGGCCUCCCGUGAGCUAUAGCACACGUUUUCAUGGCCCAGCGACCAUUUUUAUGUCCGCGUUCCGCCACACGUGUUUUUGUCCCCGGAGCACCUUAAAGCGGUUCUUGGCCUCCCGCGAGCUAUAUCACACAUUUCCGUGGCCAAAUAGCCAAUUUUAUGUAUCCGACCUGCCACCUUGUUUUAGACCGGGGAGGCCGUUAUGGCAUUUUUUUGCCACCCGUGAGCUGUAGCACACGAUUUUAUGGAAACCUAGACCCUAAAUCCUAUCCCUAAACCCUAAACCUAAACAUCGACACUAAUGGAUUUUAGUGUCGAAACCAUGGUAAAAUGAAAUUUGAGUCUCCCAACCAUAUCAACUUUGCUGACAUAGUAGAAUUUUAGUGUCCAAACCAUAGUACACAUUUUGGUCCCGGAGGCCGGUUAGGCUAUUUUUGGCCUCCCGUGACACAUGUUUUCAUCGUCAAACAACGAUUUCAUGCCUCCCGUCCGCCACCCAUGAUUUGGCCACGAGACUGCAAAGGCUGUUUAUGGCCUCCCGUAAGCUAUAGCACACGUUUUCAUGGUCGAGCGACCAUUUUUAUGUACGUGUUCCACCACCCGUGUUUUGGUCCGCAGAGCACCUUAAAGUUGUUCUUGGCCUCCCACGAGCUGUAGCACACUUUCCGUGGCCAAAGUGCCAAUUUCAUGUAUCCGACCUGCCACCUAUGUUUUAACCGGAGAGGCCGUUACGACAUUUUUGCCACAAGUGAGCUAUAGCACACGUUUUAUGGUAACUAGACCCGAAUCCAAUCCUAAACCUAACUUAAACACCGAACUAAAGGUUUUAUGUCCAAACCAUAGUAAAAUGAAGUUUGAGUCUCCAAACCAUAGUAAGCUUGCAGGCAUGUUAGAAUUUAGUGUCCAAACCAAGUACAGUUUUAGCCCUAGGCCGUAAGGCUAUUUUGGCCUCCCGUGACACAUGUUUUUGUCGUCGAACAGCGAUUUCGUGCCUCCCGUCCGCCACCCAUGAUUUGACCAUUGAGACUGGUAAGGCUGUUUUGGCCUCCCGUGAGCUAUAGCACACGUUUUCAUGGCCCAGCGACCAUUUUUAUGUCCGCGUUCCGCCACACGUGUUUUUGUCCCAGAGCACCUUAAAGCGGUUCUUGGCCUCCCGCGAGCUAUAUCACACAUUUCCGUGGCCAAACAGCCAAUUUUAUGUAUCCGACCUGCCACUUCGUUUUAGACCGGGGAGGCCGUUAUGGCAUUUUUUUGCCACCCGUGAGCUAUAGCACACGAUUUUAUGGAAACCUAGACCCUAAAUCCUAUCCCUAAACCCUAAACCUAAACAUCGACACUAAAGGAUUUUAGUGUCGAAACCAUGGUAAAAUGAAAUUUGAGUCUCCCAACCAUAUCAACUUUGCUGACAUAGUAGAAUUUUAGUGUCCAAACCAUAGUACACAUUUUGGUCCCGGAGGCCGGUAAGGCUAUUUUUGGCCUCCCGUACACAUGUUUUCAUCGUCAAACAACGAUUUCAUGCCUCCGUCCACCAGCAUGAUUUAGCCACUGAUGACUGCUAAGGCUGUUUAUGGCCUCACGUAAGCUCUAGCACACGUUUUCAUGGUCGAGCGACCAUUUUUAAGUAAGUGUUCCACCACCCGCGUUUUGGCCCCAGAGCACCUUAAAGUUGUUCUUGGCCUCCCACGAGCUGUAGGUUUAGGGUUUAGGUUUUAGGGCCUCCCGUGACACAUGUUUUUGUCGUCGAACAAUGAUUUCGUGCCUCCCGUCCGCCACCCAUGAUUUGACCAUUGAGACUGGUAAGGCUGUUUUGGCCUCCCGUGAGCUAUAGCACACGUUUUCAUGGCCCAGCGACCAUUUUUAUGUCCGCGUUCCGCCACACGUGUUUUUGUCCCCGGAGCACCUUAAAGCGGUUCUUGGCCUCCCGCGAGCUAUAUCACACAUUUCCGUGGCCAAACAGCCAAUUUUAUGUAUCCGACCUGCCACCUUCGUUUUAGACCGGGGAGGCCGUUAUGGCAUUUUUUUGCCACCCGUGAGCUAUAGCACACGAUUUUAUGGAAACCUAGACCCUAAAUCCUAUCCCUAAACCCUAAACCUAAACAUCGACACUAAAGGAUUUUAGUGUCGAAACCAUGGUAAAAUGAAAUUUGAGUCUCCCAACCAUAUCAACUUUGCUGACAUAGUAGAAUUUUAGUGUCCAAACCAUAGUACACAUUUUGGUCCCCGGAGGCCGGUAAGGCUAUUUUUGGCCUCCCGUGACACAUGUUUUCAUCGUCAAACAACGAUUUCAUGCCUCCCGUCCCCACCCAUGAUUUGGCCACUGAGACUGCUAAGGCUGUUUAUGGCCUCACGUAAGCUAUAGCACACGUUUUCAUGGUCGAGCGACCAUUUUUAAGUAAGUGUUCCACCACCCGCGUUUUGGUCCCCAGAGCACCUUAAAGUUGUUCUUGGCCUCCCACGAGCUGUAGGGUUUAGGGUUUAGGUUUAGGGCCUCCCGUGACACAUGUUUUUGUCGUCGAACAGCGAUUUCGUGCCUCCCGUCCGCCACCCAUGAUUUGACCAUUGAGACUGGUAAGGCUGUUUUGGCCUCCCGUGAGCUAUAGCACACGUUUUCAUGGCCCAGCGACCAUUUUUAUGUCCGCGUUCCGCCACACGUGUUUUUGUCCCCGGAGCACCUUAAAGCGGUUCUUGGCCUCCCGCGAGCUAUAUCACACAUUUCCGUGGCCAAACAACCAAUUUUAUGUAUCCGACCUGCCACCUUCGUUUUAGACGGGGAGGCCGUUAUGGCAUUUUUUUGCCACCCGUGAGCUAUAGCACACGAUUUUAUGGAAACCUAGACCCUAAAUCCUAUCCCUAAACCCUAAACCUAAACAUCGACACUAAAGGAUUUUAGUGUCGAAACCAUGGUAAAAUGAAAUUUGAGUCUCCCAACCAUAUCAACUUUGCUGACAUAGUAGAAUUUUAGUGUCCAAACCAUAGUACACAUUUUGGUCCCCGGAGGCCGGUAAGGCUAUUUUUGGCCUCCCGUGACACAUGUUUUCAUCGUCAAACAACGAUUUCAUGCCUCCCGUCCACCACCCAUGAUUUGGCCACUGAGACUGCUAAGGCUGUUUAUGGCCUCACGUAAGCUAUAGCACACGUUUUCAUGGUCGAGCGACCAUUUUUAAGUAAGUGUUCCACCACCCGCGUUUUGGUCCCCAGAGCACCUUAAAGUUGUUCUUGGCCUCCCACGAGCUGUAGGGUUUAGGGUUUAGGUUUUAGGGCCUCCCGUGACACAUGUUUUUGUCGUCGAACAGCGAUUUCGUGCCUCCCGUCCGCCACCCAUGAUUUGACCAUUGAGACUGGUAAGGCUGUUUUGGCCUCCCGUGAGCUAUAGCACACGUUUUCAUGGCCCAGCGACCAUUUUUAUGUCCGCGUUCCGCCACACGUGUUUUUGUCCCCGGAGCACCUUAAAGCGGUUCUUGGCCUCCCGCGAGCUAUAUCACACAUUUCCGUGGCCAAACAACCAAUUUUAUGUAUCCGACCUGCCACCUUCGUUUUAGACCGGGGAGGCCGUUAUGGCAUUUUUUUGCCACCCGUGAGCUAUAGCACACGAUUUUAUGGAAACCUAGACCCUAAAUCCUAUCCCUAAACCCUAAACCUAAACAUCGACACUAAAGGAUUUUAGUGUCGAAACCAUGGUAAAAUGAAAUUUGAGUCUCCCAACCAUAUCAACUUUGCUGACAUAGUAGAAUUUUAGUGUCCAAACCAUAGUACACAUUUUGGUCCCCGGAGGCCGGUAAGGCUAUUUUUGGCCUCCCGUGACACAUGUUUUCAUCGUCAAACAACGAUUUCAUGCCUCCCGUCCGCCACCCAUGAUUUGGCCACUGAGACUGCUAAGGCUGUUUAUGGCCUCACGUAAGCUAUAGCACACGUUUUCAUGGUCGAGCGACCAUUUUUAAGUAAGUGUUCCACCACCCGCGUUUUGGUCCCCAGAGCACCUUAAAGUUGUUCUUGGCCUCCCACGAGCUGUAGGGUUUAGGGUUUAGGUUUUAGGGCCUCCCGUGACACAUGUUUUUGUCGUCGAACAGCGAUUUCGUGCCUCCCGUCCGCCACCCAUGAUUUGACCAUUGAGACUGGUAAGGCUGUUUUGGCCUCCCGUGAGCUAUAGCACACGUUUUCAUGGCCCAGCGACCAUUUUUAUGUCCGCGUUCCGCCACACGUGUUUUUGUCCCCGGAGCACCUUAAAGCGGUUCUUGGCCUCCCGCGAGCUAUAUCACACAUUUCCGUGGCCAAACACCAAUUUUAUGUAUCCGACCUGCCACCUUCGUUUUAGACCGGGGAGGCCGUUAUGGCAUUUUUUUGCCACCCGUGAGCUAUAGCACACGAUUUUAUGGAAACCUAGACCCUAAAUCCUAUCCCUAAACCCUAAACCUAAACAUCGACACUAAAGGAUUUUAGUGUCGAAACCAUGGUAAAAUGAAAUUUGAGUCUCCCAACCAUAUCAACUUUGCUGACAUAGUAGAAUUUUAGUGUCCAAACCAUAGUACACAUUUUGGUCCCCGGAGGCCGGUAAGGCUAUUUUUGGCCUCCCGUGACACAUGUUUUCAUCGUCAAACAACGAUUUCAUGCCUCCCGUCCACCACCCAUGAUUUGGCCACUGAGACUGCUAAGGCUGUUUAUGGCCUCACGUAAGCUAUAGCACACGUUUUCAUGGUCGAGCGACCAUUUUUAAGUAAGUGUUCCACCACCCGCGUUUUGGUCCCCAGAGCACCUUAAAGUUGUUCUUGGCCUCCCACGAGCUGUAGGGUUUAGGGUUUAGGUUUUAGGGCCUCCCGUGACACAUGUUUUUGUCGUCGAACAGCGAUUUCGUGCCUCCCGUCCGCCACCCAUGAUUUGACCAUUGAGACUGGUAAGGCUGUUUUGGCCUCCCGUGAGCUAUAGCACACGUUUUCAUGGCCCAGCGACCAUUUUUAUGUCCGCGUUCCGCCACACGUGUUUUUGUCCCCGGAGCACCUUAAAGCGGUUCUUGGCCUCCCGCGAGCUAUAUCACACAUUUCCGUGGCCAAACAGCCAAUUUUAUGUAUCCGACCUGCCACCUUCGUUUUAGACCGGGGAGGCCGUUAUGGCAUUUUUUUGCCACCCGUGAGCUAUAGCACACGAUUUUAUGGAAACCUAGACCCUAAAUCCUAUCCCUAAACCCUAAACCUAAACAUCGACACUAAAGGAUUUUAGUGUCGAAACCAUGGUAAAAUGAAAUUUGAGUCUCCCAACCAUAUCAACUUUGCUGACAUAGUAGAAUUUUAGUGUCCAAACCAUAGUACACAUUUUGGUCCCCGGAGGCCGGUAAGGCUAUUUUUGGCCUCCCGUGACACAUGUUUUCAUCGUCAAACAACGAUUUCAUGCCUCCCGUCCGCCACCCAUGAUUUGGCCACUGAGACUGCUAAGGCUGUUUAUGGCCUCACGUAAGCUAUAGCACACGUUUUCAUGGUCGAGCGACCAUUUUUAAGUAAGUGUUCCACCACCCGCGUUUUGGUCCCCAGAGCACCUUAAAGUUGUUCUUGGCCUCCCACGAGCUGUAGGGUUUAGGUUUAGGUUUUAGGGCCUCCCGUGACACAUGUUUUUGUCGUCGAACAGCGAUUUCGUGCCUCCCGUCCGCCACCCAUGAUUUGACCAUUGAGACUGGUAAGGCUGUUUUGGCCUCCCGUGAGCUAUAGCACACGUUUUCAUGGCCCAGCGACCAUUUUUAUGUCCGCGUUCCGCCACACGUGUUUUUGUCCCCGGAGCACCUUAAAGCGGUUCUUGGCCUCCCGCGAGCUAUAUCACACAUUUCCGUGGCCAAACAGCCAAUUUUAUGUAUCCGACCUGCCACCUUCGUUUUAGACCGGGGAGGCCGUUAUGGCAUUUUUUUGCCACCCGUGAGCUAUAGCACACGAUUUUAUGGAAACCUAGACCCUAAAUCCUAUCCCUAAACCCUAAACCUAAACAUCGACACUAAAGGAUUUUAGUGUCGAAACCAUGGUAAAAUGAAAUUUGAGUCUCCCAACCAUAUCAACUUUGCUGACAUAGUAGAAUUUUAGUGUCCAAACCAUAGUACACAUUUUGGUCCCCGGAGGCCGGUAAGGCUAUUUUUGGCCUCCCGUGACACAUGUUUUCAUCGUCAAACAACGAUUUCAUGCCUCCCGUCCGCCACCCAUGAUUUGGCCACUGAGACUGCUAAGGCUGUUUAUGGCCUCACGUAAGCUAUAGCACACGUUUUCAUGGUCGAGCGACCAUUUUUAAGUAAGUGUUCCACCACCCGCGUUUUGGUCCCCAGAGCACCUUAAAGUUGUUCUUGGCCUCCCACGAGCUGUAGGGUUUAGGGUUUAGGUUUUAGGGCCUCCCGUGACACAUGUUUUUGUCGUCGAACAGCGAUUUCGUGCCUCCCGUCCGCCACCCAUGAUUUGACCAUUGAGACUGGUAAGGCUGUUUUGGCCUCCCGUGAGCUAUAGCACACGUUUUCAUGGCCCAGCGACCAUUUUUAUGUCCGCGUUCCGCCACACGUGUUUUUGUCCCCGGAGCACCUUAAAGCGGUUCUUGGCCUCCCGCGAGCUAUAUCACACAUUUCCGUGGCCAAACAGCCAAUUUUAUGUAUCCGACCUGCCACCUUCGUUUUAGACCGGGGAGGCCGUUAUGGCAUUUUUUUGCCACCCGUGAGCUAUAGCACACGAUUUUAUGGAAACCUAGACCCUAAAUCCUAUCCCUAAACCCUAAACCUAAACAUCGACACUAAAGGAUUUUAGUGUCGAAACCAUGGUAAAAUGAAAUUUGAGUCUCCCAACCAUAUCAACUUUGCUGACAUAGUAGAAUUUUAGUGUCCAAACCAUAGUACACAUUUUGGUCCCCGGAGGCCGGUAAGGCUAUUUUUGGCCUCCCGUGACACAUGUUUUCAUCGUCAAACAACGAUUUCAUGCCUCCCGUCCGCCACCCAUGAUUUGGCCACUGAGACUGCUAAGGCUGUUUAUGGCCUCCCGUAAGCUAUAGCACACGUUUUCAUGGUCGAGCGACCAUUUUUAAGUACGUGUUCCACCACCCGCGUUUUGGUCCCCAGAGCACCUUAAAGUUGUUCUUGGCCUCCCACGAGCUGUAGGGUUUAGGGUUUAGGUUUUAGGGCCUCCCGUGACACAUGUUUUUGUCGUCGAACAGCGAUUUCGUGCCUCCCGUCCGCCACCCAUGAUUUGACCAUUGAGACUGGUAAGGCUGUUUUGGCCUCCCGUGAGCUAUAGCACACGUUUUCAUGGCCCAGCGACCAUUUUUAUGUCCGCGUUCCGCCACACGUGUUUUUGUCCCCGGAGCACCUUAAAGCGGUUCUUGGCCUCCCGCGAGCUAUAUCACACAUUUCCGUGGCCAAACAGCCAAUUUUAUGUAUCCGACCUGCCACCUUCGUUUUAGACCGGGGAGGCCGUUAUGGCAUUUUUUUGCCACCCGUGAGCUAUAGCACACGAUUUUAUGGAAACCUAGACCCUAAAUCCUAUCCCUAAACCCUAAACCUAAACAUCGACACUAAAGGAUUUUAGUGUCGAAACCAUGGUAAAAUGAAAUUUGAGUCUCCCAACCAUAUCAACUUUGCUGACAUAGUAGAAUUUUAGUGUCCAAACCAUAGUACACAUUUUGGUCCCGGAGGCCGGUAAGGCUAUUUUUGGCCUCCCGUGACACAUGUUUUCAUCGUCAAACAACGAUUUCAUGCCUCCCGUCCGCCACCCAUGAUUUGGCCACUGAGACUGCUAAGGCUGUUUAUGGCCUCCCGUAAGCUAUAGCACACGUUUUCAUGGUCGAGCGACCAUUUUUAAGUACGUGUUCCACCACCCGCGUUUUGGUCCCCAGAGCACCUUAAAGUUGUUCUUGGCCUCCCACGAGCUGUAGGGUUUAGGAGGUUUAGGUUUUAGGGGCCUCCCGUGACACAUGUUUUUGUCGUCGAACAGCGAUUUCGUGCCUCCCGUCCGCCACCCAUGAUUUGACCAUUGAGACUGGUAAGGCUGUUUUGGCCUCCCGUGAGCUAUAGCACACGUUUUCAUGGCCCAGCGACCAUUUUUAUGUCCGCGUUCCGCCACACGUGUUUUUGUCCCCGGAGCACCUUAAAGCGGUUCUUGGCCUCCCGCGAGCUAUAUCACACAUUUCCGUGGCCAAACAGCCAAUUUUAUGUAUCCGACCUGCCACCUUCGUUUUAGACCGGGGAGGCCGUUAUGGCAUUUUUUUGCCACCCGUGAGCUAUAGCACACGAUUUUAUGGAAACCUAGACCCUAAAUCCUAUCCCUAAACCCUAAACCUAAACAUCGACACUAAAGGAUUUUAGUGUCGAAACCAUGGUAAAAUGAAAUUUGAGUCUCCCAACCAUAUCAACUUUGCUGACAUAGUAGAAUUUUAGUGUCCAAACCAUAGUACACAUUUUGGUCCCCGGAGGCCGGUAAGGCUAUUUUUGGCCUCCCGUGACACAUGUUUUCAUCGUCAAACAACGAUUUCAUGCCUCCCGUCCCCACCCAUGAUUUGGCCACUGAGACUGCUAAGGCUGUUUAUGGCCUCACGUAAGCUAUAGCACACGUUUUCAUGGUCGAGCGACCAUUUUUAAGUAAGUGUUCCACCACCCGCGUUUUGGUCCCCAGAGCACCUUAAAGUUGUUCUUGGCCUCCCACGAGCUGUAGGGUUUAGGGUUUAGGUUUUAGGGCCUCCCGUGACACAUGUUUUUGUCGUCGAACAGCGAUUUCGUGCCUCCCGUCCGCCACCCAUGAUUUGACCAUUGAGACUGGUAAGGCUGUUUUGGCCUCCCGUGAGCUAUAGCACACGUUUUCAUGGCCCAGCGACCAUUUUUAUGUCCGCGUUCCGCCACACGUGUUUUUGUCCCCGGAGCACCUUAAAGCGGUUCUUGGCCUCCCGCGAGCUAUAUCACACAUUUCCGUGGCCAAACAACCAAUUUUAUGUAUCCGACCUGCCACCUUCGUUUUAGACGGGGAGGCCGUUAUGGCAUUUUUUUGCCACCCGUGAGCUAUAGCACACGAUUUUAUGGAAACCUAGACCCUAAAUCCUAUCCCUAAACCCUAAACCUAAACAUCGACACUAAAGGAUUUUAGUGUCGAAACCAUGGUAAAAUGAAAUUUGAGUCUCCCAACCAUAUCAACUUUGCUGACAUAGUAGAAUUUUAGUGUCCAAACCAUAGUACACAUUUUGGUCCCCGGAGGCCGGUAAGGCUAUUUUUGGCCUCCCGUGACACAUGUUUUCAUCGUCAAACAACGAUUUCAUGCCUCCCGUCCGCCACCCAUGAUUUGGCCACUGAGACUGCUAAGGCUGUUUAUGGCCUCACGUAAGCUAUAGCACACGUUUUCAUGGUCGAGCGACCAUUUUUAAGUAAGUGUUCCACCACCCGCGUUUUGGUCCCCAGAGCACCUUAAAGUUGUUCUUGGCCUCCCACGAGCUGUAGGGUUUAGGGUUUAGGUUUUAGGGCCUCCCGUGACACAUGUUUUUGUCGUCGAACAGCGAUUUCGUGCCUCCCGUCCGCCACCCAUGAUUUGACCAUUGAGACUGGUAAGGCUGUUUUGGCCUCCCGUGAGCUAUAGCACACGUUUUCAUGGCCCAGCGACCAUUUUUAUGUCCGCGUUCCGCCACACGUGUUUUUGUCCCCGGAGCACCUUAAAGCGGUUCUUGGCCUCCCGCGAGCUAUAUCACACAUUUCCGUGGCCAAACAGCCAAUUUUAUGUAUCCGACCUGCCACCUUCGUUUUAGACCGGGGAGGCCGUUAUGGCAUUUUUUUGCCACCCGUGAGCUAUAGCACACGAUUUUAUGGAAACCUAGACCCUAAAUCCUAUCCCUAAACCCUAAACCUAAACAUCGACACUAAAGGAUUUUAGUGUCGAAACCAUGGUAAAAUGAAAUUUGAGUCUCCCAACCAUAUCAACUUUGCUGACAUAGUAGAAUUUUAGUGUCCAAACCAUAGUACACAUUUUGGUCCCCGGAGGCCGGUAAGGCUAUUUUUGGCCUCCCGUGACACAUGUUUUCAUCGUCAAACAACGAUUUCAUGCCUCCCGUCCGCCACCCAUGAUUUGGCCACUGAGACUGCUAAGGCUGUUUAUGGCCUCACGUAAGCUAUAGCACACGUUUUCAUGGUCGAGCGACCAUUUUUAAGUAAGUGUUCCACCACCCGCGUUUUGGUCCCCAGAGCACCUUAAAGUUGUUCUUGGCCUCCCACGAGCUGUAGGGUUUAGGGUUUAGGUUUUAGGGCCUCCCGUGACACAUGUUUUUGUCGUCGAACAGCGAUUUCGUGCCUCCCGUCCGCCACCCAUGAUUUGACCAUUGAGACUGGUAAGGCUGUUUUGGCCUCCCGUGAGCUAUAGCACACGUUUUCAUGGCCCAGCGACCAUUUUUAUGUCCGCGUUCCGCCACACGUGUUUUUGUCCCCGGAGCACCUUAAAGCGGUUCUUGGCCUCCCGCGAGCUAUAUCACACAUUUCCGUGGCCAAACAGCCAAUUUUAUGUAUCCGACCUGCCACCUUCGUUUUAGACCGGGGAGGCCGUUAUGGCAUUUUUUUGCCACCCGUGAGCUAUAGCACACGAUUUUAUGGAAACCUAGACCCUAAAUCCUAUCCCUAAACCCUAAACCUAAACAUCGACACUAAAGGAUUUUAGUGUCGAAACCAUGGUAAAAUGAAAUUUGAGUCUCCCAACCAUAUCAACUUUGCUGACAUAGUAGAAUUUUAGUGUCCAAACCAUAGUACACAUUUUGGUCCCCGGAGGCCGGUAAGGCUAUUUUUGGCCUCCCGUGACACAUGUUUUCAUCGUCAAACAACGAUUUCAUGCCUCCCGUCCGCCACCCAUGAUUUGGCCACUGAGACUGCUAAGGCUGUUUAUGGCCUCACGUAAGCUAUAGCACACGUUUUCAUGGUCGAGCGACCAUUUUUAAGUAAGUGUUCCACCACCCGCGUUUUGGUCCCCAGAGCACCUUAAAGUUGUUCUUGGCCUCCCACGAGCUGUAGGGUUUAGGGUUUAGGUUUUAGGGCCUCCCGUGACACAUGUUUUUGUCGUCGAACAGCGAUUUCGUGCCUCCCGUCCGCCACCCAUGAUUUGACCAUUGAGACUGGUAAGGCUGUUUUGGCCUCCCGUGAGCUAUAGCACACGUUUUCAUGGCCCAGCGACCAUUUUUAUGUCCGCGUUCCGCCACACGUGUUUUUGUCCCCGGAGCACCUUAAAGCGGUUCUUGGCCUCCCGCGAGCUAUAUCACACAUUUCCGUGGCCAAACAGCCAAUUUUAUGUAUCCGACCUGCCACCUUCGUUUUAGACCGGGGAGGCCGUUAUGGCAUUUUUUUGCCACCCGUGAGCUAUAGCACACGAUUUUAUGGAAACCUAGACCCUAAAUCCUAUCCCUAAACCCUAAACCUAAACAUCGACACUAAAGGAUUUUAGUGUCGAAACCAUGGUAAAAUGAAAUUUGAGUCUCCCAACCAUAUCAACUUUGCUGACAUAGUAGAAUUUUAGUGUCCAAACCAUAGUACACAUUUUGGUCCCCGGAGGCCGGUAAGGCUAUUUUUGGCCUCCCGUGACACAUGUUUUCAUCGUCAAACAACGAUUUCAUGCCUCCCGUCCCCACCCAUGAUUUGGCCACUGAGACUGCUAAGGCUGUUUAUGGCCUCACGUAAGCUAUAGCACACGUUUUCAUGGUCGAGCGACCAUUUUUAAGUAAGUGUUCCACCACCCGCGUUUUGGUCCCCAGAGCACCUUAAAGUUGUUCUUGGCCUCCCACGAGCUGUAGGGUUUAGGGUUUAGGUUUUAGGGCCUCCCGUGACACAUGUUUUUGUCGUCGAACAGCGAUUUCGUGCCUCCCGUCCGCCACCCAUGAUUUGACCAUUGAGACUGGUAAGGCUGUUUUGGCCUCCCGUGAGCUAUAGCACACGUUUUCAUGGCCCAGCGACCAUUUUUAUGUCCGCGUUCCGCCACACGUGUUUUUGUCCCCGGAGCACCUUAAAGCGGUUCUUGGCCUCCCGCGAGCUAUAUCACACAUUUCCGUGGCCAAACAGCCAAUUUUAUGUAUCCGACCUGCCACCUUCGUUUUAGACCGGGGAGGCCGUUAUGGCAUUUUUUUGCCACCCGUGAGCUAUAGCACACGAUUUUAUGGAAACCUAGACCCUAAAUCCUAUCCCUAAACCCUAAACCUAAACAUCGACACUAAAGGAUUUUAGUGUCGAAACCAUGGUAAAAUGAAAUUUGAGUCUCCCAACCAUAUCAACUUUGCUGACAUAGUAGAAUUUUAGUGUCCAAACCAUAGUACACAUUUUGGUCCCCGGAGGCCGGUAAGGCUAUUUUUGGCCUCCCGUGACACAUGUUUUCAUCGUCAAACAACGAUUUCAUGCCUCCCGUCCGCCACCCAUGAUUUGGCCACUGAGACUGCUAAGGCUGUUUAUGGCCUCCGUAAGCUAUAGCACACGUUUUCAUGGUCGAGCGACCAUUUUUAAGUAAGUGUUCCACCACCCGCGUUUUGGUCCCCAGAGCACCUUAAAGUUGUUCUUGGCCUCCCACGAGCUGUAGGGUUUAGGGUUUAGGUUUUAGGGCCUCCCGUGACACAUGUUUUUGUCGUCGAACAGCGAUUUCGUGCCUCCCGUCCGCCACCCAUGAUUUGACCAUUGAGACUGGUAAGGCUGUUUUGGCCUCCCGUGAGCUAUAGCACACGUUUUCAUGGCCCAGCGACCAUUUUUAUGUCCGCGUUCCGCCACACGUGUUUUUGUCCCCGGAGCACCUUAAAGCGGUUCUUGGCCUCCCGCGAGCUAUAUCACACAUUUCCGUGGCCAAACAACCAAUUUUAUGUAUCCGACCUGCCACCUUCGUUUUAGACCGGGGAGGCCGUUAUGGCAUUUUUUUGCCACCCGUGAGCUAUAGCACACGAUUUUAUGGAAACCUAGACCCUAAAUCCUAUCCCUAAACCCUAAACCUAAACAUCGACACUAAAGGAUUUUAGUGUCGAAACCAUGGUAAAAUGAAAUUUGAGUCUCCCAACCAUAUCAACUUUGCUGACAUAGUAGAAUUUUAGUGUCCAAACCAUAGUACACAUUUUGGUCCCGGAGGCCGGUAAGGCUAUUUUUGGCCUCCCGUGACACAUGUUUUCAUCGUCAAACAACGAUUUCAUGCCUCCCGUCCCCACCCAUGAUUUGGCCACUGAGACUGCUAAGGCUGUUUAUGGCCUCACGUAAGCUAUAGCACACGUUUUCAUGGUCGAGCGACCAUUUUUAAGUAAGUGUUCCACCACCCGCGUUUUGGUCCCCAGAGCACCUUAAAGUUGUUCUUGGCCUCCCACGAGCUGUAGGGUUUAGGGUUUAGGUUUUAGGGCCUCCCGUGACACAUGUUUUUGUCGUCGAACAGCGAUUUCGUGCCUCCCGUCCGCCACCCAUGAUUUGACCAUUGAGACUGGUAAGGCUGUUUUGGCCUCCCGUGAGCUAUAGCACACGUUUUCAUGGCCCAGCGACCAUUUUUAUGUCCGCGUUCCGCCACACGUGUUUUUGUCCCCGGAGCACCUUAAAGCGGUUCUUGGCCUCCCGCGAGCUAUAUCACACAUUUCCGUGGCCAAACAGCCAAUUUUAUGUAUCCGACCUGCCACCUUCGUUUUAGACCGGGGAGGCCGUUAUGGCAUUUUUUUGCCACCCGUGAGCUAUAGCACACGAUUUUAUGGAAACCUAGACCCUAAAUCCUAUCCCUAAACCCUAAACCUAAACAUCGACACUAAAGGAUUUUAGUGUCGAAACCAUGGUAAAAUGAAAUUUGAGUCUCCCAACCAUAUCAACUUUGCUGACAUAGUAGAAUUUUAGUGUCCAAACCAUAGUACACAUUUUGGUCCCCGGAGGCCGGUAAGGCUAUUUUUGGCCUCCCGUGACACAUGUUUUCAUCGUCAAACAACGAUUUCAUGCCUCCCGUCCGCCACCCAUGAUUUGGCCACUGAGACUGCUAAGGCUGUUUAUGGCCUCCGUAAGCUAUAGCACACGUUUUCAUGGUCGAGCGACCAUUUUUAAGUAAGUGUUCCACCACCCGCGUUUUGGUCCCCAGAGCACCUUAAAGUUGUUCUUGGCCUCCCACGAGCUGUAGGGUUUAGGGUUUAGGUUUUAGGGCCUCCCGUGACACAUGUUUUUGUCGUCGAACAGCGAUUUCGUGCCUCCCGUCCGCCACCCAUGAUUUGACCAUUGAGACUGGUAAGGCUGUUUUGGCCUCCCGUGAGCUAUAGCACACGUUUUCAUGGCCCAGCGACCAUUUUUAUGUCCGCGUUCCGCCACACGUGUUUUUGUCCCCGGAGCACCUUAAAGCGGUUCUUGGCCUCCCGCGAGCUAUAUCACACAUUUCCGUGGCCAAACAGCCAAUUUUAUGUAUCCGACCUGCCACCUUCGUUUUAGACCGGGGAGGCCGUUAUGGCAUUUUUUUGCCACCCGUGAGCUAUAGCACACGAUUUUAUGGAAACCUAGACCCUAAAUCCUAUCCCUAAACCCUAAACCUAAACAUCGACACUAAAGGAUUUUAGUGUCGAAACCAUGGUAAAAUGAAAUUUGAGUCUCCCAACCAUAUCAACUUUGCUGACAUAGUAGAAUUUUAGUGUCCAAACCAUAGUACACAUUUUGGUCCCCGGAGGCCGGUAAGGCUAUUUUUGGCCUCCCGUGACACAUGUUUUCAUCGUCAAACAACGAUUUCAUGCCUCCCGUCCCCACCCAUGAUUUGGCCACUGAGACUGCUAAGGCUGUUUAUGGCCUCACGUAAGCUAUAGCACACGUUUUCAUGGUCGAGCGACCAUUUUUAAGUAAGUGUUCCACCACCCGCGUUUUGGUCCCCAGAGCACCUUAAAGUUGUUCUUGGCCUCCCACGAGCUGUAGGGUUUAGGGUUUAGGUUUUAGGGCCUCCCGUGACACAUGUUUUUGUCGUCGAACAGCGAUUUCGUGCCUCCCGUCCGCCACCCAUGAUUUGACCAUUGAGACUGGUAAGGCUGUUUUGGCCUCCCGUGAGCUAUAGCACACGUUUUCAUGGCCCAGCGACCAUUUUUAUGUCCGCGUUCCGCCACACGUGUUUUUGUCCCCGGAGCACCUUAAAGCGGUUCUUGGCCUCCCGCGAGCUAUAUCACACAUUUCCGUGGCCAAACAGCCAAUUUUAUGUAUCCGACCUGCCACCUUCGUUUUAGACCGGGGAGGCCGUUAUGGCAUUUUUUUGCCACCCGUGAGCUAUAGCACACGAUUUUAUGGAAACCUAGACCCUAAAUCCUAUCCCUAAACCCUAAACCUAAACAUCGACACUAAAGGAUUUUAGUGUCGAAACCAUGGUAAAAUGAAAUUUGAGUCUCCCAACCAUAUCAACUUUGCUGACAUAGUAGAAUUUUAGUGUCCAAACCAUAGUACACAUUUUGGUCCCCGGAGGCCGGUAAGGCUAUUUUUGGCCUCCCGUGACACAUGUUUUCAUCGUCAAACAACGAUUUCAUGCCUCCCGUCCGCCACCCAUGAUUUGGCCACUGAGACUGCUAAGGCUGUUUAUGGCCUCCCAUAAGCUAUAGCACACGUUUUCAUGGUCGAGCGACUAUUUUUAAGUACGUGUUCCACCACCCGCGUUUUGGUCCCCAGAGCACCUUAAAGUUGUUCUUGGCCUCCCACGAGCUGUAGGGUUUAGGGUUUAGGUUUUAGGGCCUCCCGUGACACAUGUUUUUGUCGUCGAACAGCGAUUUCGUGCCUCCCGUCCGCCACCCAUGAUUUGACCAUUGAGACUGGUAAGGCUGUUUUGGCCUCCCGUGAGCUAUAGCACACGUUUUCAUGGCCCAGCGACCAUUUUUAUGUCCGCGUUCCGCCACACGUGUUUUUGUCCCCGGAGCACCUUAAAGCGGUUCUUGGCCUCCCGCGAGCUAUAUCACACAUUUCGUGGCCAAACAGCCAAUUUUAUGUAUCCGACCUGCCACCUUCGUUUUAGACCGGGGAGGCCGUUAUGGCAUUUUUUUGCCACCCGUGAGCUAUAGCACACGAUUUUAUGGAAACCUAGACCCUAAAUCCUAUCCCUAAACCCUAAACCUAAACAUCGACACUAAAGGAUUUUAGUGUCGAAACCAUGGUAAAAUGAAAUUUGAGUCUCCCAACCAUAUCAACUUUGCUGACAUAGUAGAAUUUUAGUGUCCAAACCAUAGUACACAUUUUGGUCCCGGAGGCCGGUAAGGCUAUUUUUGGCCUCCCGUGACACAUGUUUUCAUCGUCAAACAACGAUUUCAUGCCUCCCGUCCGCCACCCAUGAUUUGGCCACUGAGACUGCAAGGCUGUUUAUGGCCUCCCGUAAGCUAUAGCACACGUUUUCAUGGUCGAGCGACCAUUUUUAUGUACGUGUUCCACCACCCGCGUUUUGGUCCCCAGAGCACCUUAAAGUUGUUCUUGGCCUCCCACGAGCUGUAGCACACGUUUCGUGCAAAGCCAAUUUCUGUAUCCGACUGCCACCUACGUUUAACCGGAGAGGCCGUUACGACAUUUUUGCCACAAGUGAGCUAUAGCACACGUUUUAUGGUAACCUAGACCCGAAUCCAAUCCCUAAACCUUAAACACGAACUAAAAGGUUUAGUGUCCAACCAUAGUAAAAUGAAGUUUGAGUCUCCAAACAUAGUAAGCUUGCAGCAUGGUAGAAUUUAGUGUCCAAAAAAGUACACUUAGGCGUAAGGCUAUUUUGGCCUCCCGUGACACAUGUUUUUGUCGUCGAACAGCGAUUUCGUGCCUCCCGUCCGCCACCCAUGAUUUGACCAUUGAGACUGGUAAGGCUGUUUUGGCCUCCCGUGAGCUAUAGCACACGUUUUCAUGGCCCAGCGACCAUUUUUAUGUCCGCGUUCCGCCACACGUGUUUUUGUCCCCGGAGCACCUUAAAGCGGUUCUUGGCCUCCCGCGAGCUAUAUCACACAUUUCCGUGGCCAAACAGCCAAUUUUAUGUAUCCGACCUGCCACCUUCGUUUUAGACCGGGGAGGCCGUUAUGGCAUUUUUUUGCCACCCGUGAGCUAUAGCACACGAUUUUAUGGAAACCUAGACCCUAAAUCCUAUCCCUAAACCCUAAACCUAAACAUCGACACUAAAGGAUUUUAGUGUCGAAACCAUGGUAAAAUGAAAUUUGAGUCUCCCAACCAUAUCAACUUUGCUGACAUAGUAGAAUUUUAGUGUCCAAACCAUAGUACACAUUUUGGUCCCCGGAGGCCGGUAAGGCUAUUUUUGGCCUCCCGUGACACAUGUUUUCAUCGUCAAACAACGAUUUCAUGCCUCCCGUCCCCACCCAUGAUUUGGCCACUGAGACUGCUAAGGCUGUUUAUGGCCUCACGUAAGCUAUAGCACACGUUUUCAUGGUCGAGCGACCAUUUUUAAGUAAGUGUUCCACCACCCGCGUUUUGGUCCCCAGAGCACCUUAAAGUUGUUCUUGGCCUCCCACGAGCUGUAGGGUUUAGGGUUUAGGUUUUAGGGCCUCCCGUGACACAUGUUUUUGUCGUCGAACAGCGAUUUCGUGCCUCCCGUCCGCCACCCAUGAUUUGACCAUUGAGACUGGUAAGGCUGUUUUGGCCUCCCGUGAGCUAUAGCACACGUUUUCAUGGCCCAGCGACCAUUUUUAUGUCCGCGUUCCGCCACACGUGUUUUUGUCCCCGGAGCACCUUAAAGCGGUUCUUGGCCUCCCGCGAGCUAUAUCACACAUUUCCGUGGCCAAACAGCCAAUUUUAUGUAUCCGACCUGCCACCUUCGUUUUAGACGGGGAGGCCGUUAUGGCAUUUUUUUGCCACCCGUGAGCUAUAGCACACGAUUUUAUGGAAACCUAGACCCUAAAUCCUAUCCCUAAACCCUAAACCUAAACAUCGACACUAAAGGAUUUUAGUGUCGAAACCAUGGUAAAAUGAAAUUUGAGUCUCCCAACCAUAUCAACUUUGCUGACAUAGUAGAAUUUUAGUGUCCAAACCAUAGUACACAUUUUGGUCCCCGGAGGCCGGUAAGGCUAUUUUUGGCCUCCCGUGACACAUGUUUUCAUCGUCAAACAACGAUUUCAUGCCUCCCGUCCGCCACCCAUGAUUUGGCCACUGAGACUGCUAAGGCUGUUUAUGGCCUCCCGUAAGCUAUAGCACACGUUUUCAUGGUCGAGCGACCAUUUUUAAGUAGUGUUCCACCACCCGCGUUUUGGUCCCCAGAGCACCUUAAAGUUGUUCUUGGCCUCCCACGAGCUGUAGGGUUUAGGGUUUAGGUUUUAGGGCCUCCCGUGACACAUGUUUUUGUCGUCGAACAGCGAUUUCGUGCCUCCCGUCCGCCACCCAUGAUUUGACCAUUGAGACUGGUAAGGCUGUUUUGGCCUCCCGUGAGCUAUAGCACACGUUUUCAUGGCCCAGCGACCAUUUUUAUGUCCGCGUUCCGCCACACGUGUUUUUGUCCCCGGAGCACCUUAAAGCGGUUCUUGGCCUCCCGCGAGCUAUAUCACACAUUUCCGUGGCCAAACAGCCAAUUUUAUGUAUCCGACCUGCCACCUUCGUUUUAGACCGGGGAGGCCGUUAUGGCAUUUUUUUGCCACCCGUGAGCUAUAGCACACGAUUUUAUGGAAACCUAGACCCUAAAUCCUAUCCCUAAACCCUAAACCUAAACAUCGACACUAAAGGAUUUUAGUGUCGAAACCAUGGUAAAAUGAAAUUUGAGUCUCCCAACCAUAUCAACUUUGCUGACAUAGUAGAAUUUUAGUGUCCAAACCAUAGUACACAUUUUGGUCCCGGAGGCCGGUAAGGCUAUUUUUGGCCUCCCGUGACACAUGUUUUCAUCGUCAAACAACGAUUUCAUGCCUCCCGUCCGCCACCCAUGAUUUGGCCACUGAGACUGCUAAGGCUGUUUAUGGCCUCCGUAAGCUAUAGCACACGUUUUCAUGGUCGAGCGACCAUUUUUAAGUAAGUGUUCCACCACCCGCGUUUUGGUCCCCAGAGCACCUUAAAGUUGUUCUUGGCCUCCCACGAGCUGUAGGGUUUAGGGUUUAGGUUUUAGGGCCUCCCGUGACACAUGUUUUUGUCGUCGAACAGCGAUUUCGUGCCUCCCGUCCGCCACCCAUGAUUUGACCAUUGAGACUGGUAAGGCUGUUUUGGCCUCCCGUGAGCUAUAGCACACGUUUUCAUGGCCCAGCGACCAUUUUUAUGUCCGCGUUCCGCCACACGUGUUUUUGUCCCCGGAGCACCUUAAAGCGGUUCUUGGCCUCCCGCGAGCUAUAUCACACAUUUCCGUGGCCAAACAGCCAAUUUUAUGUAUCCGACCUGCCACCUUCGUUUUAGACCGGGGAGGCCGUUAUGGCAUUUUUUUGCCACCCGUGAGCUAUAGCACACGAUUUUAUGGAAACCUAGACCCUAAAUCCUAUCCCUAAACCCUAAACCUAAACAUCGACACUAAAGGAUUUUAGUGUCGAAACCAUGGUAAAAUGAAAUUUGAGUCUCCCAACCAUAUCAACUUUGCUGACAUAGUAGAAUUUUAGUGUCCAAACCAUAGUACACAUUUUGGUCCCCGGAGGCCGGUAAGGCUAUUUUUGGCCUCCCGUGACACAUGUUUUCAUCGUCAAACAACGAUUUCAUGCCUCCCGUCCGCCACCCAUGAUUUGGCCACUGAGACUGCUAAGGCUGUUUAUGGCCUCCCGUAAGCUAUAGCACACGUUUUCAUGGUCGAGCGACCAUUUUUAAGUACGUGUUCCACCACCCGCGUUUUGGUCCCCAGAGCACCUUAAAGUUGUUCUUGGCCUCCCACGAGCUGUAGGGUUUAGGGUUUAGGUUUUAGGGCCUCCCGUGACACAUGUUUUUGUCGUCGAACAGCGAUUUCGUGCCUCCCGUCCGCCACCCAUGAUUUGACCAUUGAGACUGGUAAGGCUGUUUUGGCCUCCCGUGAGCUAUAGCACACGUUUUCAUGGCCCAGCGACCAUUUUUAUGUCCGCGUUCCGCCACACGUGUUUUUGUCCCCGGAGCACCUUAAAGCGGUUCUUGGCCUCCCGCGAGCUAUAUCACACAUUUCCGUGGCCAAACAGCCAAUUUUAUGUAUCCGACCUGCCACCUUCGUUUUAGACCGGGGAGGCCGUUAUGGCAUUUUUUUGCCACCCGUGAGCUAUAGCACACGAUUUUAUGGAAACCUAGACCCUAAAUCCUAUCCCUAAACCCUAAACCUAAACAUCGACACUAAAGGAUUUUAGUGUCGAAACCAUGGUAAAAUGAAAUUUGAGUCUCCCAACCAUAUCAACUUUGCUGACAUAGUAGAAUUUUAGUGUCCAAACCAUAGUACACAUUUUGGUCCCGGAGGCCGGUAAGGCUAUUUUUGGCCUCCCGUGACACAUGUUUUCAUCGUCAAACAACGAUUUCAUGCCUCCCGUCCGCCACCCAUGAUUUGGCCACUGAGACUGCUAAGGCUGUUUAUGGCCUCCGUAAGCUAUAGCACACGUUUUCAUGGUCGAGCGACCAUUUUUAAGUAGUGUUCCACCACCCGCGUUUUGGUCCCCAGAGCACCUUAAAGUUGUUCUUGGCCUCCCACGAGCUGUAGGGUUUAGGGUUUAGGUUUUAGGGCCUCCCGUGACACAUGUUUUUGUCGUCGAACAGCGAUUUCGUGCCUCCCGUCCGCCACCCAUGAUUUGACCAUUGAGACUGGUAAGGCUGUUUUGGCCUCCCGUGAGCUAUAGCACACGUUUUCAUGGCCCAGCGACCAUUUUUAUGUCCGCGUUCCGCCACACGUGUUUUUGUCCCCGGAGCACCUUAAAGCGGUUCUUGGCCUCCCGCGAGCUAUAUCACACAUUUCCGUGGCCAAACAGCCAAUUUUAUGUAUCCGACCUGCCACCUUCGUUUUAGACCGGGGAGGCCGUUAUGGCAUUUUUUUGCCACCCGUGAGCUAUAGCACACGAUUUUAUGGAAACCUAGACCCUAAAUCCUAUCCCUAAACCCUAAACCUAAACAUCGACACUAAAGGAUUUUAGUGUCGAAACCAUGGUAAAAUGAAAUUUGAGUCUCCCAACCAUAUCAACUUUGCUGACAUAGUAGAAUUUUAGUGUCCAAACCAUAGUACACAUUUUGGUCCCCGGAGGCCGGUAAGGCUAUUUUUGGCCUCCCGUGACACAUGUUUUCAUCGUCAAACAACGAUUUCAUGCCUCCCGUCCACCACCCAUGAUUUGGCCACUGAGACUGCUAAGGCUGUUUAUGGCCUCACGUAAGCUAUAGCACACGUUUUCAUGGUCGAGCGACCAUUUUUAAGUAAGUGUUCCACCACCCGCGUUUUGGUCCCCAGAGCACCUUAAAGUUGUUCUUGGCCUCCCACGAGCUGUAGGGUUUAGGGUUUAGGUUUUAGGGCCUCCCGUGACACAUGUUUUUGUCGUCGAACAGCGAUUUCGUGCCUCCCGUCCGCCACCCAUGAUUUGACCAUUGAGACUGGUAAGGCUGUUUUGGCCUCCCGUGAGCUAUAGCACACGUUUUCAUGGCCCAGCGACCAUUUUUAUGUCCGCGUUCCGCCACACGUGUUUUUGUCCCCGGAGCACCUUAAAGCGGUUCUUGGCCUCCCGCGAGCUAUAUCACACAUUUCCGUGGCCAAACAACCAAUUUUAUGUAUCCGACCUGCCACCUUCGUUUUAGACCGGGGAGGCCGUUAUGGCAUUUUUUUGCCACCCGUGAGCUAUAGCACACGAUUUUAUGGAAACCUAGACCCUAAAUCCUAUCCCUAAACCCUAAACCUAAACAUCGACACUAAAGGAUUUUAGUGUCGAAACCAUGGUAAAAUGAAAUUUGAGUCUCCCAACCAUAUCAACUUUGCUGACAUAGUAGAAUUUUAGUGUCCAAACCAUAGUACACAUUUUGGUCCCCGGAGGCCGGUAAGGCUAUUUUUGGCCUCCCGUGACACAUGUUUUCAUCGUCAAACAACGAUUUCAUGCCUCCCGUCCCCACCCAUGAUUUGGCCACUGAGACUGCUAAGGCUGUUUAUGGCCUCCGUAAGCUAUAGCACACGUUUUCAUGGUCGAGCGACCAUUUUUAAGUACGUGUUCCACCACCCGCGUUUUGGUCCCCAGAGCACCUUAAAGUUGUUCUUGGCCUCCCACGAGCUGUAGGGUUUAGGGUUUAGGUUUUAGGGCCUCCCGUGACACAUGUUUUUGUCGUCGAACAGCGAUUUCGUGCCUCCCGUCCGCCACCCAUGAUUUGACCAUUGAGACUGGUAAGGCUGUUUUGGCCUCCCGUGAGCUAUAGCACACGUUUUCAUGGCCCAGCGACCAUUUUUAUGUCCGCGUUCCGCCACACGUGUUUUUGUCCCCGGAGCACCUUAAAGCGGUUCUUGGCCUCCCGCGAGCUAUAUCACACAUUUCCGUGGCCAAACAGCCAAUUUUAUGUAUCCGACCUGCCACCUUCGUUUUAGACCGGGGAGGCCGUUAUGGCAUUUUUUUGCCACCCGUGAGCUAUAGCACACGAUUUUAUGGAAACCUAGACCCUAAAUCCUAUCCCUAAACCCUAAACCUAAACAUCGACACUAAAGGAUUUUAGUGUCGAAACCAUGGUAAAAUGAAAUUUGAGUCUCCCAACCAUAUCAACUUUGCUGACAUAGUAGAAUUUUAGUGUCCAAACCAUAGUACACAUUUUGGUCCCCGGAGGCCGGUAAGGCUAUUUUUGGCCUCCCGUGACACAUGUUUUCAUCGUCAAACAACGAUUUCAUGCCUCCCGUCCACCACCCAUGAUUUGGCCACUGAGACUGCUAAGGCUGUUUAUGGCCUCACGUAAGCUAUAGCACACGUUUUCAUGGUCGAGCGACCAUUUUUAAGUAAGUGUUCCACCACCCGCGUUUUGGUCCCCAGAGCACCUUAAAGUUGUUCUUGGCCUCCCACGAGCUGUAGGGUUUAGGGUUUAGGUUUUAGGGCCUCCCGUGACACAUGUUUUUGUCGUCGAACAGCGAUUUCGUGCCUCCCGUCCGCCACCCAUGAUUUGACCAUUGAGACUGGUAAGGCUGUUUUGGCCUCCCGUGAGCUAUAGCACACGUUUUCAUGGCCCAGCGACCAUUUUUAUGUCCGCGUUCCGCCACACGUGUUUUUGUCCCCGGAGCACCUUAAAGCGGUUCUUGGCCUCCCGCGAGCUAUAUCACACAUUUCCGUGGCCAAACAACCAAUUUUAUGUAUCCGACCUGCCACCUUCGUUUUAGACCGGGGAGGCCGUUAUGGCAUUUUUUUGCCACCCGUGAGCUAUAGCACACGAUUUUAUGGAAACCUAGACCCUAAAUCCUAUCCCUAAACCCUAAACCUAAACAUCGACACUAAAGGAUUUUAGUGUCGAAACCAUGGUAAAAUGAAAUUUGAGUCUCCCAACCAUAUCAACUUUGCUGACAUAGUAGAAUUUUAGUGUCCAAACCAUAGUACACAUUUUGGUCCCCGGAGGCCGGUAAGGCUAUUUUUGGCCUCCCGUGACACAUGUUUUCAUCGUCAAACAACGAUUUCAUGCCUCCCGUCCACCACCCAUGAUUUGGCCACUGAGACUGCUAAGGCUGUUUAUGGCCUCACGUAAGCUAUAGCACACGUUUUCAUGGUCGAGCGACCAUUUUUAAGUAAGUGUUCCACCACCCGCGUUUUGGUCCCCAGAGCACCUUAAAGUUGUUCUUGGCCUCCCACGAGCUGUAGGGUUUAGGGUUUAGGUUUUAGGGCCUCCCGUGACACAUGUUUUUGUCGUCGAACAGCGAUUUCGUGCCUCCCGUCCGCCACCCAUGAUUUGACCAUUGAGACUGGUAAGGCUGUUUUGGCCUCCCGUGAGCUAUAGCACACGUUUUCAUGGCCCAGCGACCAUUUUUAUGUCCGCGUUCCGCCACACGUGUUUUUGUCCCCGGAGCACCUUAAAGCGGUUCUUGGCCUCCCGCGAGCUAUAUCACACAUUUCCGUGGCCAAACAGCCAAUUUUAUGUAUCCGACCUGCCACCUUCGUUUUAGACCGGGGAGGCCGUUAUGGCAUUUUUUUGCCACCCGUGAGCUAUAGCACACGAUUUUAUGGAAACCUAGACCCUAAAUCCUAUCCCUAAACCCUAAACCUAAACAUCGACACUAAAGGAUUUUAGUGUCGAAACCAUGGUAAAAUGAAAUUUGAGUCUCCCAACCAUAUCAACUUUGCUGACAUAGUAGAAUUUUAGUGUCCAAACCAUAGUACACAUUUUGGUCCCCGGAGGCCGGUAAGGCUAUUUUUGGCCUCCCGUGACACAUGUUUUCAUCGUCAAACAACGAUUUCAUGCCUCCCGUCCGCCACCCAUGAUUUGGCCACUGAGACUGCUAAGGCUGUUUAUGGCCUCCGUAAGCUAUAGCACACGUUUUCAUGGUCGAGCGACCAUUUUUAAGUAGUGUUCCACCACCCGCGUUUUGGUCCCCAGAGCACCUUAAAGUUGUUCUUGGCCUCCCACGAGCUGUAGGGUUUAGGGUUUAGGUUUUAGGGCCUCCCGUGACACAUGUUUUUGUCGUCGAACAGCGAUUUCGUGCCUCCCGUCCGCCACCCAUGAUUUGACCAUUGAGACUGGUAAGGCUGUUUUGGCCUCCCGUGAGCUAUAGCACACGUUUUCAUGGCCCAGCGACCAUUUUUAUGUCCGCGUUCCGCCACACGUGUUUUUGUCCCCGGAGCACCUUAAAGCGGUUCUUGGCCUCCCGCGAGCUAUAUCACACAUUUCCGUGGCCAAACAGCCAAUUUUAUGUAUCCGACCUGCCACCUUCGUUUUAGACCGGGGAGGCCGUUAUGGCAUUUUUUUGCCACCCGUGAGCUAUAGCACACGAUUUUAUGGAAACCUAGACCCUAAAUCCUAUCCCUAAACCCUAAACCUAAACAUCGACACUAAAGGAUUUUAGUGUCGAAACCAUGGUAAAAUGAAAUUUGAGUCUCCCAACCAUAUCAACUUUGCUGACAUAGUAGAAUUUUAGUGUCCAAACCAUAGUACACAUUUUGGUCCCCGGAGGCCGGUAAGGCUAUUUUUGGCCUCCCGUGACACAUGUUUUCAUCGUCAAACAACGAUUUCAUGCCUCCCGUCCGCCACCCAUGAUUUGGCCACUGAGACUGCUAAGGCUGUUUAUGGCCUCACGUAAGCUAUAGCACACGUUUUCAUGGUCGAGCGACCAUUUUUAAGUAAGUGUUCCACCACCCGCGUUUUGGUCCCCAGAGCACCUUAAAGUUGUUCUUGGCCUCCCACGAGCUGUAGGGUUUAGGGUUUAGGUUUUAGGGCCUCCCGUGACACAUGUUUUUGUCGUCGAACAGCGAUUUCGUGCCUCCCGUCCGCCACCCAUGAUUUGACCAUUGAGACUGGUAAGGCUGUUUUGGCCUCCCGUGAGCUAUAGCACACGUUUUCAUGGCCCAGCGACCAUUUUUAUGUCCGCGUUCCGCCACACGUGUUUUUGUCCCCGGAGCACCUUAAAGCGGUUCUUGGCCUCCCGCGAGCUAUAUCACACAUUUCCGUGGCCAAACAGCCAAUUUUAUGUAUCCGACCUGCCACCUUCGUUUUAGACGGGGAGGCCGUUAUGGCAUUUUUUUGCCACCCGUGAGCUAUAGCACACGAUUUUAUGGAAACCUAGACCCUAAAUCCUAUCCCUAAACCCUAAACCUAAACAUCGACACUAAAGGAUUUUAGUGUCGAAACCAUGGUAAAAUGAAAUUUGAGUCUCCCAACCAUAUCAACUUUGCUGACAUAGUAGAAUUUUAGUGUCCAAACCAUAGUACACAUUUUGGUCCCCGGAGGCCGGUAAGGCUAUUUUUGGCCUCCCGUGACACAUGUUUUCAUCGUCAAACAACGAUUUCAUGCCUCCCGUCCGCCACCCAUGAUUUGGCCACUGAGACUGCUAAGGUUGUUUAUGGCCUCCCGUAAGCUAUAGCACACGUUUUCAUGGUCGAGCGACUAUUUUUAAGUACGUGUUCCACCACCCUCGUUUUGGUCCCCAGAGCACCUUAAAGUUGUUCUUGGCCUCCCACGAGCUUUAGGGUUUAGGAUUUAGGUUUUAGGGCCUCCCGUGACACAUGUUUUUGUCGUCGAACAGCGAUUUCGUGCCUCCCGUCCGCCACCCAUGAUUUGACCAUUGAGACUGGUAAGGCUGUUUUGGCCUCCCGUGAGCUAUAGCACACGUUUUCAUGGCCCAGCGACCAUUUUUAUGUCCGCGUUCCGCCACACGUGUUUUUGUCCCCAGAGCACCUUAAAGCGGUUCUUGGCCUCCCGCGAGCUAUAUCACACAUUUUCGUGGCCAAACAGCCAAUUUUAUGUAUCCGACCUGCCACCUUCGUUUUAGACCGGGGAGGCCGUUAUGGCAUUUUUUUGCCACCCGUGAGCUAUAGCACACGAUUUUAUGGAAACCUAGACCCUAAAUCCUAUCCCUAAACCCUAAACCUAAACAUCGACACUAAAGGAUUUUAGUGUCGAAACCAUGGUAAAAUGAAAUUUGAGUCUCCCAACCAUAUCAACUUUGCUGACAUAGUAGAAUUUUAGUGUCCAAACCAUAGUACACAUUUUGGUCGCCGGAGGCCGGUAAGGCUAUUUUUGGCCUCCCGUGACACAUGUUUUCAUCGUCAAACAACGAUUUCAUGCCUCCCGUCCGCCACCCAUGAUUUGGCCACUGAGACUGCAAAGGCUGUUUAUGGCCUCCCGUAAGCUAUAGCACACGUUUUCAUGGUCGAGCGACCAUUUUUAUGUACGUGUUCCACCACCCGCGUUUUGGUCCCCAGAGCACCUUAAAGUUGUUCUUGGCCUCCCACGAGCUGUAGCACACGUUUCCGUGGCCAAAGAGCCAAUUUCAUGUAUCCGACCUGCCACCUACGUUUUACACCGGAGAGGCCGUUACGACAUUUUUUGCCACAAGUGAGCUAUAGCACACGUUUUUAUGGUAACCUAGACCCCGAAUCCAAUCCCUAAACCCUAACCUUAAACACCGACACUAAAAGGUUUUAGUGUCCAAACCAUAGUAAAAUGAAGUUUGAGUCUCCAAACCAUAGUAAGCUUGCAGGCAUGGUAGAAUUUUAGUGUCCAAACCAAAGUACACGUUUUAGUCCCCUUAGGCCCGUAAGGCUAUUUUGGCCUCCCGUGACACAUGUUUUUGUCGUCGAACAGCGAUUUCGUGCCUCCCGUCCGCCACCCAUGAUUUGACCAUUGAGACUGGUAAGGCUGUUUUGGC
Molecule: long non-coding RNA, 31631 nt
Filed under: Zea mays
Lineage: Eukaryota; Viridiplantae; Streptophyta; Magnoliopsida; Poales; Poaceae
Description: long non-coding RNA (ZMAY_LNC005802)
Source: RNAcentral